CCUACGGGAGGCAGCAGUGGGGAAUAUUGCACAAUGGGGGCAACCCUGAUGCAGCGACGCCGCGUGAGCGAUGAAGUAUUUCGGUAUGUAAAGCUCUAUCAGCAGGGAAGAAGAUGACGGUACCUAACUAAGAAGCCCCGGCUAACUACGUGCCAGCAGCCGCGGUCAUACGUAGGGGGCAAGCGUUCUCCGGCUUUACUGGGUGGAAAGGGAGCGUAGACGGCGAUGCAAGCCGGAUGUGAAAGCCCGGGGCUCAACCCCGGGAUUGCAUUUGGAACUGUGUGGCUGGAGUGUCGGAGAGGCAGGCGGAAUUCCUAGUGUAGCGGUGAAAUGCGUAGAUAUUAGGAGGAACACCAGUGGCGAAGGCGGCCUGCUGGACGAUGACUGACGUUGAGGCUCGAAAGCGUGGGGAGCAAACAGGAUUAGAUACCCGUGUAGUC
Molecule: ribosomal RNA, 440 nt
Filed under: uncultured bacterium
Lineage: Bacteria
Description: partial 16S ribosomal RNA
Rfam family: Bacterial small subunit ribosomal RNA
Source: RNAcentral